GUAAAUAUAGAAUUGAGUUAAAUAUCAACAGACAUAAUUCAUUUUUUUUCUCUCUUGUAGAAGUUUGCUUGUCUACCAGCCAGAACCACAACAGAUCGUCCAAGUUGUAAAUUUCGAAGUGACUGUUACACUCCAAAAGUAGAGACAACUUGUGUUUACCCUGCAUUAGAUAAUAAAACCCGACUUCUUCGAAUCAUUCAUGGUCAUAAACCACCAUUGCUUUUCCUUGGAGAUCCUCUAGACCUUCAUUAUUCCGUUGCUGUCAGUAAUUAUGUUCCAAACAAUUCCUUCAUACCCAUCAGUUUACCAUAUGUCAUUGAAACAUUCUGCAAAUAUUUGAUCUCUUUAUCUGGUGCUUUGGUCAUCAUCAAUGUGAUUCCAUGUUAUGCCCUUGAUGGACAGUGGAUAUGCCGUGCUUUUAUUGAGUUUUGUCUUCGGCCAAUCAUUCCUAAUGUUGAAGUGCGAAAUGCCAUCUAUUCUGUCAUUCUGAUAUAUGGCACAAUAAUAUUGUUGGCAAAUGUCUUCAUUGCCAUGUGGACUUUGUUUUCAUGAUACCUAUAAGGAUCAUUUGUGUGGGAGAAGUUUACACUGUAAAAGUUACUUUUAUAUAUGUGUCAGUGGCAUACCUUGGAUAUCAAAAUAGGAUGUAUAUAAAAAAAAUGAUAAAGUACACUCAAAUAAUGUUUUAUAAAAAUAAAUGCAUAUGUUUAUAUUAUUGCUAUAAAUAGUGCAGGAAAUGUAAAAUACGUCUACUCUAUCUCUCUCAGUGAUGCAAAAUUUUUAUACCCUUCCCUGUUGCUUUCAUUCUCCUCCACUAAGUAUAUCUAACUGCCUCUCAAAACUAAUUUUAUUACAUUCGUGUUUUUUCAGUCUGCUCUUGAAGCUGAGAAUUUACAAUUUUUUUUAUCAGAGGUUCUAAAGCAAAGUAAGCAUUUUAGGCAAGCUAUUGGGAUAUUAAGUACAUGGCCUCCUAUUUCUAGUUAAUAUAUCAUAUGCUGAUCCAGGUAUGAGUUGUGUGAAAAGAUAAUCAAUUACACAAAGAAUAAAAUACAAUAUACAUACUUCACAUGCACAAUUAUAAGGCAAUACAGUUUCUUCCAGUUAUUCAUUGCUGCAAUAGUUAAUUGUCCAAAAUACAUUUAAACACUUUCUGCAUAUACAAAAAGAAAUAUUCCUGUUUAUUUCAUUUAGUAGUUUAUUACUGUAUUGAAUGUUUCUUCAGAUUAUCUAAAGCAAUGAAAAGGUAUUGUACUGAACAUAGCCUUAUGUACUUUUAAGGUAAUUUUAUUCUACUUUUAUCCAGUAUAAACUGUGCUAUAAUAUCAAAAGGAAUCUGCAUUCAUGCUAUUUAUAGUUCCUUUCCACAUAAAUCCAAACAUUCUCACCUGACCAUAUGUGCCUCCAUGCUGGGUUAUAGACAGUUGCUCAGUUGAAAGACUAAGAUUAUUUGCUGUCAUGAACUAUAUCAAUUUUAUGUAUAAUCCAUCUUCUGAUUUCUUAAAUAAAACACAUAUAUUGAUGAUCAGA
Octopus sinensis (East Asian common octopus) is the source of this 1527-nucleotide RNA transcript. RefSeq lists it as uncharacterized. The transcript has 3 exons. The record is from RefSeq and is a predicted model, not a curated record. Lineage: Eukaryota; Metazoa; Mollusca; Cephalopoda; Octopoda; Octopodidae.